RNAcentral lists this ribosomal RNA (157 nucleotides) under Crotalaria evolvuloides. RNAcentral describes it as "5.8S ribosomal RNA". It matches the Rfam family "5.8S ribosomal RNA". From Rfam's summary of the family: 5.8S ribosomal RNA (5.8S rRNA) is a component of the large subunit of the eukaryotic ribosome. The record is from RNAcentral. Lineage: Eukaryota; Viridiplantae; Streptophyta; Magnoliopsida; Fabales; Fabaceae.
GGACUCUCGGCAACGGAUAUCUCGGCUCUUGCAUCGAUGAAGAACGUAGCGAAAUGCGAUACUUGGUGUGAAUUGCAGAAUCCCGUGAACCAUCGAGUCUUUGAACGCAAGUUGCGCCCGAAGCCAUUUGGCCGAGGGCACGCCUGCCUGGGUGUCG